CGACGAGUUUGAUCCUGGCUCAGAUUGAACGCUGGCGGCAUGCCUUACACAUGCAAGUCGAACGGCAGCACGGGUGCUUGCACCUGGUGCGAGUGGCGAACGGGUGAGUAAUACAUCGGAACGUACCUUAUCGUGGGGGAUAACGCAGCGAAAGUUGCGCUAAUACCGCAUACGCCCUGAGGGGGAAAGCGGGGGACCGUAAGGCCUCGCGCGAUUAGAGCGGCCGAUGUCUGAUUAGCUUGUUGGUGAGGUAAAACGCUCACCAAGGCGAUGAUCAGUAGCUGGUCUGAGAGGACGAUCAGCCACACGUGGGACUGAGACACGGCCCAGACUCCUACGGGA
Molecule: ribosomal RNA, 342 nt
Filed under: uncultured Polynucleobacter sp.
Lineage: Bacteria; Pseudomonadati; Pseudomonadota; Betaproteobacteria; Burkholderiales; Burkholderiaceae
Description: bacterial SSU rRNA
Rfam family: Bacterial small subunit ribosomal RNA
Source: RNAcentral